UACGUAGGGUGCGAGCGUUAAUCGGAAUUACUGGGCGUAAAGCGUGCGCAGGCUGUUUUGUAAGUCAGAUGUGAAAUCCCUGGGCUCAACCUAGGAACUGCGUUUGAAACUACAAGGCUAGAGUGUAGCAGAGGGGGUAGAAUUCCACGUGUAGCAGUGAAAUGCGUAGAGAUGUGGAGGAAUACCAAUGGCGAAGGCAGCCCCCUGGGUUAACACUGACGCUCAUGCACGAAAGCGUGGGGAGCAAACAGG
This 252-nucleotide ribosomal RNA is filed under the name uncultured bacterium. RNAcentral's name for it is "partial 16S ribosomal RNA". It matches the Rfam family "Bacterial small subunit ribosomal RNA", at positions 524 to 776 of the family's 1533-position model. The record is from RNAcentral.